RNAcentral lists this ribosomal RNA (328 nucleotides) under uncultured bacterium. Its description in RNAcentral is "bacterial SSU rRNA". It matches the Rfam family "Bacterial small subunit ribosomal RNA", at positions 335 to 655 of the family's 1533-position model. The record is from RNAcentral.
ACUCCUACGGGAGGCAGCAGUGGGGAAUAUUGCACAAUGGGCGCAAGCCUGAUGCAGCCAUGCCGCGUGUGUGAAGAAGGCCUUCGGGUUGUAAGCANCUUUCAUGUCGUGAGGAAGGUAGUGUAGUUAAUAGCUGCAUUAUUUGACGUUAGCGACAGAAGAAGCACCGGCUAACUCCGUGCCAGCAGCCGCGGUAAUACGGAGGGUGCGAGCGUUAAUCGGAAUUACUGGGCGUAAAGCGCAUGCAGGUGGCUUGUUAAGUCAGAUGUGAAAGCCGGGCGUCAACCUCGGAAUUGCAUUUGAAACUGGCAGACUAGAGUACUGUAGA